ACCAAGACUCCACAUAAUUCUCCCAAGGAAUUCUGAUUACAGAGUGAUGGGGUCAAGACAUGAAUAAGACCUAACUCAAAGCCCAUGUGUUUGUCAUCAGCACUAUGUAUGCAUCCAGGUCAGACUGAGACGUUGGACAUGUCAGGUUCAGCGAAUGAAGGAUCCAGCAGGAGACUGGAGAACCUAAGGCAGGAGGGCUUGA
Molecule: long non-coding RNA, 202 nt
Organism: Suricata suricatta (meerkat)
Lineage: Eukaryota; Metazoa; Chordata; Mammalia; Carnivora; Herpestidae
Exons: 3
Source: RefSeq, a predicted model, not a curated record